GACCUAUGGACUUAAUAUUGGUUAAUCAUGUCUUAGUGUUUGCAACUUGAGCUCUUCAUAAGAGGUAAUUGAACAAUUGGCCAGGUAAGCAGAUGGGAGGCUCGCCUUACUCAGAGAGUAAGGUUCUAAUUAAGUAACCACCUUUCAUGCUUUUCUAGACACCAGUUAGAUUAAUUAAUCUAAUAUGACUCGCUCAUGUUGGUUCACUCUCGACUUGAUUGAGGAGGUUUUAGUUUAGGUCUC
This 243-nucleotide long non-coding RNA is filed under the name Phoenix dactylifera (date palm). RNAcentral's name for it is "long non-coding RNA (PDAC_LNC015784)". Lineage: Eukaryota; Viridiplantae; Streptophyta; Magnoliopsida; Arecales; Arecaceae. The record is from RNAcentral.